Molecule: ribosomal RNA, 119 nt
Filed under: Aegilops tauschii subsp. strangulata
Lineage: Eukaryota; Viridiplantae; Streptophyta; Magnoliopsida; Poales; Poaceae
Source: RNAcentral
GUUUGCGAUCAUACCAGCACUAAAGCACCGGAUCCCAUCAGAACUCCGAAGUUAAGCGUGCUUGGGCGAGAGUAGUACUAGGAUGGGUGACCUCCUGUGAAGUCCUCGUGUUGCAUUCC